CAACAUCAACACCAGGAUAUUCACGUUCACUUCGAGGGAAGACUCCCACUAUAGGCAGAAUUGGAGGCGGGACAGGAUCUACGUGGACUGGCAAAUAUUACGACAAGUGGAUUAAGUGUGGAGUCAGCAUUCCUGGAGACAGUCGCGUGGUCACGUGGACAGGAGCGGAAGAGAAAACGACCCAACCACCAACAGAAAAGCCAGAGCCAACUUUAAAACCAGCCACUCGGUGCUUAGGAAGCUAUUGUCCCGGAUCCUAUGUGACAGGUGCUAAAUGUGUCAACGGAUACUGUGUGUGUUCUUCACCCGGAUACAAUCACUUAACUUGUCUACCUGAAUAUGCUGGUUGCUCAAUAGAACAAACCAAAGAACCAAAGGCGGUUCCUUCUUUUAAUGGCAAGAGGCUAUCAUCCACAUAUAGCUGUAUCAGUGACACGGCUUG
Gigantopelta aegis is the source of this 442-nucleotide long non-coding RNA. RefSeq lists it as uncharacterized. Lineage: Eukaryota; Metazoa; Mollusca; Gastropoda; Neomphalida; Peltospiridae. The transcript has 5 exons. The record is from RefSeq and is a predicted model, not a curated record.